This 254-nucleotide ribosomal RNA is filed under the name uncultured bacterium. RNAcentral describes it as "partial 16S ribosomal RNA". It matches the Rfam family "Bacterial small subunit ribosomal RNA", at positions 524 to 776 of the family's 1533-position model. The record is from RNAcentral.
UACGUAGGGGCCAAGCGUUGUCCGGAAUUAUUGGGCGUAAAGAGCUCGUAGGCGGUGUGUCGCGUCGGCCGUGAAAACCUGCAGCUUAACUGUGGGCUUGCGGUCGAUACGGGCAUCACUGGAGUUCGGCAGGGGAGACUGGAAUUCCUGGUGUAGCGGUGAAAUGCGCAGAUAUCAGGAGGAACACCGGUGGCGAAGGCGGGUCUCUGGGCCGAUACUGACGCUGAGGAGCGAAAGCGUGGGGAGCGAACAGG